RNAcentral lists this ribosomal RNA (1229 nucleotides) under Psychrobacter sp. DAB_AL62B. RNAcentral describes it as "bacterial SSU rRNA". It matches the Rfam family "Bacterial small subunit ribosomal RNA", at positions 84 to 1311 of the family's 1533-position model. Lineage: Bacteria; Pseudomonadati; Pseudomonadota; Gammaproteobacteria; Moraxellales; Moraxellaceae. The record is from RNAcentral.
UCUGCUGACGAGCGGCGGACGGGUGAGUAAUACUUAGGAAUCUACCUAGUAGUGGGGGAUAGCUCGGGGAAACUCGAAUUAAUACCGCAUACGACCUACGGGAGAAAGGGGGCAACUUGUUGCUCUCGCUAUUAGAUGAGCCUAAGUCGGAUUAGCUAGAUGGUGGGGUAAAGGCCUACCAUGGCGACGAUCUGUAGCUGGUCUGAGAGGAUGAUCAGCCACACCGGGACUGAGACACGGCCCGGACUCCUACGGGAGGCAGCAGUGGGGAAUAUUGGACAAUGGGGGAAACCCUGAUCCAGCCAUGCCGCGUGUGUGAAGAAGGCCUUUUGGUUGUAAAGCACUUUAAGCAGUGAAGAAGACUCCAUGGUUAAUACCCAUGGACGAUGACAUUAGCUGCAGAAUAAGCACCGGCUAACUCUGUGCCAGCAGCCGCGGUAAUACAGAGGGUGCAAGCGUUAAUCGGAAUUACUGGGCGUAAAGGGAGCGUAGGUGGCUCGAUAAGUCAGAUGUGAAAUCCCCGGGCUCAACCUGGGAACUGCAUCUGAUACUGUUGAGCUAGAGUAUGUGAGAGGAAGGUAGAAUUCCAGGUGUAGCGGUGAAAUGCGUAGAGAUCUGGAGGAAUACCGAUGGCGAAGGCAGCCUUCUGGCAUAAUACUGACACUGAGGCUCGAAAGCGUGGGUAGCAAACAGGAUUAGAUACCCUGGUAGUCCACGCCGUAAACGAUGUCUACUAGUCGUUGGGUCCCUUGAGGACUUAGUGACGCAGCUAACGCAAUAAGUAGACCGCCUGGGGAGUACGGCCGCAAGGUUAAAACUCAAAUGAAUUGACGGGGGCCCGCACAAGCGGUGGAGCAUGUGGUUUAAUUCGAUGCAACGCGAAGAACCUUACCUGGUCUUGACAUAUCUAGAAUCCUGCAGAGAUGCGGGAGUGCCUUCGGGAAUUAGAAUACAGGUGCUGCAUGGCUGUCGUCAGCUCGUGUCGUGAGAUGUUGGGUUAAGUCCCGCAACGAGCGCAACCCUUGUCCUUAGUUACCAGCGGGUUAAGCCGGGAACUCUAAGGAUACUGCCAGUGACAAACUGGAGGAAGGCGGGGACGACGUCAAGUCAUCAUGGCCCUUACGACCAGGGCUACACACGUGCUACAAUGGUAGGUACAGAGGGCAGCUACACAGCGAUGUGAUGCGAAUCUCAAAAAGCCUAUCGUAGUCCGGAUUGGAGUCUGCAAC